AACGAACGCUGGCGGCAUGCCUAACACAUGCAAGUCGAACGAGACCUUCGGGUCUAGUGGCGCACGGGUGCGUAACGCGUGGGAACCUGCCCUAGGUUCGGAAUAACUCCCCGAAAGGGGUGCUAAUACCGGAUAAUGUCUUCGGACCAAAGAUUUAUCGCCGUUGGAUGGGCCCGCGGUGGAUUAGCUGGUUGGUAGGGUAAAAGCCUACCAAGGCGACGAUCCAUAGCUGGUCUGAGAGGAUGAUCAGCCACACUGGGACUGAGACACGGCCCAGACUCCUACGGGAGGCAGCAGUGGGGAAUAUUGGACAAUGGGCGAAAGCCUGAUCCAGCAAUGCCGCGUGAGUGAUGAAGGCCUUAGGGUUGUAAAGCUCUUUUACCCGGGAUGAUAAUGACAGUACCGGGAGAAUAAGCUCCGGCUAACUCCGUG
Molecule: ribosomal RNA, 432 nt
Filed under: uncultured bacterium
Lineage: Bacteria
Description: partial 16S ribosomal RNA
Rfam family: Bacterial small subunit ribosomal RNA
Source: RNAcentral